Molecule: ribosomal RNA, 549 nt
Filed under: uncultured Glomus
Lineage: Eukaryota; Fungi; Glomeromycota; Glomeromycetes; Glomerales; Glomeraceae
Description: SSU rRNA
Rfam family: Eukaryotic small subunit ribosomal RNA
Source: RNAcentral
UUGGAGGGCAAGUCUGGUGCCAGCAGCCGCGGUAAUUCCAGCUCCAAUAGCGUAUAUUAAAGUUGUUGCAGUUAAAAAGCUCGUAGUUGAAUUUCGGGAUUAGCAGGUCGGUCGUGCCACUGGUACGUACUGGUCUUGCUGAUUCCUCCCUCUUGACGAGCCGUAAUGCCAUUAAUUUGGUGUUGCGGGGAAUCAGGACUGUUACUUUGAAAAAAUUAGAGUGUUUAAAGCAGGCAUGCGCUUGAAUACAUUAGCAUGGAGUAACGAAAUAGGACGUUCGAUCUUAUUUUGUUGGUUUCUAGGAUUGACGUAAUGAUUAAUAGGGAUAGUUGGGGGCAUUAGUAUUCAAUUGUCAGAGGUGAAAUUCUUGGAUUUAUUGAAGACUAACUACUGCGAAAGCAUUUGCCAAGGAUGUUUUCAUUAAUCAAGAACGAAAGUUAGGGGAUCGAAGACGAUCAGAUACCGUCGUAGUCUUAACCAUAAACUAUGCCGACUAGGGAUCGGAUGAUGUUAAUUUUUUAAUGACUCAUUCGGCACCUUACGGGAAAC